GCCCUGAGUUUGAUUUCCAGCUCCCCAGGCAAUUACAGCUCAUUUGGCUGCAUGCGAGGGAAACAGCACUGCCCUACUUCUCAGGCUCCACAGCUCUGUUUGAGGAGGAACCACCAAUGAGAUUGAACUCAGACUGGAUCUGCCAGAGAGAUCAGGACUGGCACUGAGGAGGACAAGAGAGAGGUUAUUGUUUGGAGGAAGUUAUGGGGAGUAGUGCAGAAUAGGUUGAGGGGUAGAGCUUCAGCUGACCAUGCGGUGUUGGAGGAUGGACAGGCAGGUGAGCAAUGGUUUGGUUUUUCCACGAGGUGAUCUCAGAGCUGUGGGGCUGGAGGUAGGAAAGGAAGGAAGACUGACGGCUGGAGUGGCAGGGAGUUGUUUCCAAAACUUGCCGGAGAAUGAAUACAGAGAACAGAAGCUUUGAAUCCAGGACACUGUCACAGAAUGAUCAGAUUUGCAAAGCAGGACAAGAAACGAUUAGAGCAGGCUUGAGGAAAUGCAGAGAACAGCAGAACACGGUCAGGUUAAGACCGCUGACGCCUUCCUCAAGGUUCCUGCUCCUGAAGAAGAACUGCUGAUUGGGCUCAACAAGAAACACCCGUUGUAGCUGCACCUGCUUGUCACACCCUGCAAGCGGAGAGAAACACAGCACAAAAACACAAACACCUGCACACAGCCACUGUGGG
Molecule: long non-coding RNA, 683 nt
Organism: Girardinichthys multiradiatus
Lineage: Eukaryota; Metazoa; Chordata; Actinopteri; Cyprinodontiformes; Goodeidae
Exons: 3
Source: RefSeq, a predicted model, not a curated record